RNAcentral lists this ribosomal RNA (338 nucleotides) under Aglajidae sp. 2 DS-2020. Its description in RNAcentral is "partial 28S large subunit ribosomal RNA". It matches the Rfam family "Eukaryotic large subunit ribosomal RNA", at positions 25 to 356 of the family's 3401-position model. The record is from RNAcentral. Lineage: Eukaryota; Metazoa; Mollusca; Gastropoda; Cephalaspidea; Aglajidae.
CCGCUGAAUUUAAGCAUAUAACUAAGCGGAGGAAAAGAAACUAACAAGGAUUUCCCCAGUAACGGCGAGUGAAGCGGGAAGAGCCCAGCACCGAAUCCCCCAGUGUCAUGCUGGCGGGAACUGUGGUGUGUGGGACGCCACCAGUCGCAUAUGUCGGCACCGAAGUCCUCCUGAUUGAGGCUUCACCCAGAGUGGGUGUAAGGCCUUUGCUGGUGUUCGACUGUGCGGCCGCGAGCGUCUCAGGAGUCGGGUUGUUUGGGAAUGCAGCCCAAAGUGGGUGGUAAACUCCAUCUAAGGCUAAAUACUGGCACGAGUGCGAUAGCGGAUGAGUACCGCGA